CGGUCCGCUAAGACAGAUGUGAAAUCCCCGAGGCUUAACCUGGGAACUGCAUUUGUGACUGGCGGGCUAGAGUAUGGCAGAGGGGGGUAGAAUUCCACGUGUAGCAGUGAAAUGCGUAGAGAUGUGGAGGAAUACCGAUGGCGAAGGCAGCCCCCUGGGCCAAUACUGACGCUCAUGCACGAAAGCGUGGGGAACAAACAGGAUUAGAUACCCUGGUAGUCCACGCCCUAAACGAUGUCCGCUAGUAGUCGGGUCUUCAUUGACUUGGUAACGUAGCUAACGCGUGAAGUUGACCGCCUGGGGAGUACGGUCGCAAGAUUAAAACUCAAAGGAAUUGACGGGGACCCGCACAAGCGGUGGAUGAUGUGGAUUAAUUCGAUGCAACGCGAAAAACCUUACCUACCCGUGACAUGUAUGGAAUCCUGCUGAGAGGUGGGAGUGCCCGAAAGGGAGCCAUAACACAGGUGCUGCAUGGCUGUCGUCAGCUCGUGUCGUGAGGUGUUGGGUUAAGUCCCGCAACGAGCGCAACCCUUGUCCCUAGUUGCUACGCAAGAGCACUCUAGGGAGACUGCCGGUGACAAACCGGAGGAAGGUGGGGAUGACGUCAAGUCCUCAUGGCCUUUAUGGGUAGGGCUUCACACGUCAUACAAUGGUCGGAACAGAGGGUCGCCAACCCGCGAGGGGGAGCCAAUCCCAGAAAACCGAUCGUAGUCCGGAUCGCACUCUGCAACUCGAGUGCGUGAAGCUGGAAUCGCUAGUAAUC
RNAcentral lists this ribosomal RNA (763 nucleotides) under uncultured Burkholderia sp. Its description in RNAcentral is "bacterial SSU rRNA". It matches the Rfam family "Bacterial small subunit ribosomal RNA", at positions 576 to 1343 of the family's 1533-position model. The record is from RNAcentral. Lineage: Bacteria; Pseudomonadati; Pseudomonadota; Betaproteobacteria; Burkholderiales; Burkholderiaceae.